AGUUAAUAGGAAUUGAUGUAGUUAUCCACAAAACAAUAUUUUUUUAGGUAAUUUAUGAACUCCGCACAAGUCAGUGUUUAUCGAAUAGACUCUGAGGUUUCCAAAUAACAGCAGUUUGCAAGAAUUGAAAUAUUUAUAAUAGUAAAGUAUUAAAGUAAACCAAGGAAUAUGUUUUCCAAACCAGAUACUGACUGAAAUAGCUAAACUGGGGUGGCAGCAGGCUUGGAUAGUUUUCUGACAGUUUGCAAUUGUAUUUUUUAAUUCACUAAUGAAAGUGUUUAGUUUACAAAUGAGUAAAAGAAUUACUGUAAUGACAGCACCAAUCUCAUUCGAGCUUUAGACAAGUCAGACGGGAGGGAGAGACUGAUGGCUGGGAGCACAUCGGCUGCAGCUGGGACUAGAAUGGGGGGGAGGAAUAGGCAAAGUAGAGGAAUUAUCAUUGUAAUGCAAUUUGGCUUUUAGCUGGUGAAUCAGGAACUCAGCAGGGCACCUGAAUUCAAGCAGGGGGAGGGGGAAUGUUUGACACCCAACACAAAUAGCCGAUUUGGCUGUGUGUGUGCGCUGGCACUCGUUUCAUGCCAAUUAAUAAAAUCCAAGGCAAAUAUGAGUCUAAAAACCAAAAGAAAAAAAAUUACCUGGGCGCUAUCCCAAAUCCCUACGCACGUCUAAAUAACUGGAGGUUUAGUAUCACUCCAAUAGCCAUUAACGUGUAAGCUCACCUGCCAAGUCAAGGCAAAACCUCUUAGGCGAGUCCUACACCGACAAUUCACCUUGCUGCUUUUCAGAGAGGGGUAUAUUUCUAAACACCUACACACUUAUUAACCCUUAAUAUGGAACACAUGAGGAGUAGUGGCUGUUUGACCACAGAGAUUCAUUUUGUAUUUAAUUGGUUUGUUUAAUUGACACUUUAGCUGUUAAACUUAAAGCACAAUGCCACUUCUCCGUUGUGUUUAAAAAAAAACUUAUUGUUAUAAGUCAAUAUUUUAACCUAAACUUCGAAAUAAACUUUGAGUCUUGACAAUCAGUUUAGUAAAUAAUCCGGGACUUCCUUCUCAAAAUCAAAACCGACAGAGAGGAAUUUGUAUUCCUGAUCUUAUAAAACAUGUUUAUGUGGCUUGCCCCCCCCCCUUAAAAAGAAUUCAACCUCACCUUUUUUCCAGCGCCACGUGAGUUUGAUGGCGCUGGCCCUGUCCCCAAAACACCUCCUUGGCUGUGAUCAUCAGAAUUGAAUUGGAAAGCUAAAGCGUAAAUGUUGCAAAAUGCCACUCUGCGCCAAUCAGCAGCUCCUCAUAGUGAUACAUCGAAUCAAUGUUCAGUGUCUCCAUGCACAGCGUGUGGACUUUGAACAACAAUGUGCAGCAAUAACCCAGGAAGCUCCUCUAGUGGCCGUCUGAGCAACAGGAUCUAGAGGUGUUCAUAGGCAGCAAUGUAAACACUGCCCUUUCUGUAAAAAAAUAAAAAGCCUGCCGGUAAUUACUACAUGUUCUGGUGGUUAUAGUGUCUCUUAAAGUUAAACAUGAAAACAUGAUGGAUUUAGAAAUAUGAUUCAGGAACAGCUUCCUUGCACCAUAACCAGGUGGAUUCGCCCUUGCUGAGGUUAGUUUAGUGCCGGGUGCUUGGAAUAACAUUGAGCAGAUCAUUUGAGGGAGUAUUGUUCUCUGUAACCAUGUGGGAGGGACACAUCCACAAAGUCACCUCCUGGGUGCAGGAGUAUAGAAUGGCCCCCUGCUUAUCCUUCACUUGUUGUCCAGAAAUUCUGACAUUGUAACGUAAGGUUCUUUACUCAGAAUCUGUGGGAAUUCAAACCAUACUCUGUGUAAAGAGACAGCCACAUGCCGUGUAAAGAGACACGGUCUGAGACAGCCAAAUGCCGUGUAAAGAGACACGGUCUGAGACAGCCAGGACUGUGCAUUGUAAAAGAGACAAGGUGUAAGGAGACAGCCAAAUUCCAUGUUAAGAGACAAUUGGACUAUGCCAUGUAAAGAGAAAUGAUCUAAUGAGACAGCCACACAGCAUCUAAAGAGACAGAUGGAUUUAUGCUGUGUAAAGAGAUAGACAGUAGAGCACUAACCGCUGGGACACCCCUGUCACGGGAGAUGGGACUCCUCGUACGUGUUCCCUUAAUUAUACAUUGUAUCGUCAGAUUUUUCCCUGCAUUUGGAUGGAAUUGUUCCCUCUGUUCAGUUACCGAACAGAUUCUGUGGGGUCCCCUUGAUCGCAAACCAUGUUUAGGCUUGAUUGGAAGACUGUGCUUGUCCCAUUCUAAAUAUGAUAAAAAUGAGGCUGGAGUAUUAAUCUGUGGAUGGGUAUUAAUGCCUCUUUUUAUAUAAUAUUGGAACACAAGGCUGGUUCAUAUCAAAGGACUACUUAUCAGAGAGGGAAUCAAUACAU
Molecule: long non-coding RNA, 2391 nt
Filed under: Pelobates cultripes (western spadefoot toad)
Lineage: Eukaryota; Metazoa; Chordata; Amphibia; Anura; Pelobatidae
Source: RNAcentral